This 74-nucleotide transfer RNA is filed under the name Amborella trichopoda. It matches the Rfam family "tRNA". Rfam says of the family: Transfer RNA (tRNA) molecules are approximately 80 nucleotides in length. The record is from Rfam by way of RNAcentral. Lineage: Eukaryota; Viridiplantae; Streptophyta; Magnoliopsida; Amborellales; Amborellaceae.
AGGAUUGUAGUACAAUUGGUCAAAGCACCGCCCUAUCAAGGUGGAAGCCGCGGGUUCAAGCCCCGUCAAUCCCA